This 665-nucleotide ribosomal RNA is filed under the name uncultured bacterium. RNAcentral describes it as "bacterial SSU rRNA". It matches the Rfam family "Bacterial small subunit ribosomal RNA", at positions 8 to 689 of the family's 1533-position model. The record is from RNAcentral.
AGAGUUUGAUCCUGGCUCAGGAUGAACGCUGGCGGCAUGCCUAACACAUGCAAGUCGAACGGGAAGCUUGCCUUCGGGCGAGUGGAGAGUGGCGAACGGGUGCGUAACACGUAGCUCAUCUGCCCUAGAGACGAGGAUAACGUCUGGAAACAGACGCUAAUACUCGAUAAGCUCACGGACUGUAGAGGUUUGUGAGAAAAGUUCAGGCGCUCUAGGAUGAGGCUGCGGUCCAUCAGCUAGAUGGUGAGGUAACGGCUCACCAUGGCGACGACGGAUAGGGGACCUGAGAGGGUGACCCCCCACACUGGCACUGAGACACGGGCCAGACUCCUACGGGAGGCAGCAGUGAGGAAUAUUGCGCAAUGGGCGAAAGCCUGACGCAGCGAUGCCGCGUGAGCGACGAAGGCCUUCGGGUCGUAAAGCUCUUUUCCAGGUGACGAGGAAGGACGGUAGCCUGGGAAUAAGUCUCGGCUAACUACGUGCCAGCAGCCGCGGUAAAACGUAGGAGGCGAGCGUUAUCCGGAGUUACUGGGCGUAAAGCGCGUGCAGGCGGCCAUGUAGGUCAGAUGUGAAAGCUCCCAGGCUAAACCGGGAGAGGUCAUUUGAAACCACAGGGCUAGAGAGCAGGAGAGGGGCAUAGAAUUCCGGGUGUAGUGGUGAAAUGC